CGGCGGACGGGUGAGUAACGCGUGGGUAACCUACCCUGUACACACAGAUAACAUACCGAAAGGUAUGCUAAUACGGGAUAAUAUAUUUGAGAGGCAUCUCUUGAAUAUCAAAGGUGAGCCAGUACAGGAUGGACCCGCGUCUGAUUAGCUAGUUGGUAAGGUAACGGCCUACCAAGGCGACGAUCAGUAGCCGACCUGAGAGGGUGACCGGCCACAUUGGGACUGAGACACGGCCCAA
This 238-nucleotide ribosomal RNA is filed under the name uncultured bacterium. RNAcentral describes it as "partial 16S ribosomal RNA". It matches the Rfam family "Bacterial small subunit ribosomal RNA", at positions 96 to 334 of the family's 1533-position model. The record is from RNAcentral.